AUUGAACGCUGGCGGCAGGCUUAACACAUGCAAGUCGAGCGGAGACUUCGGUCUUAGCGGCGAACGGGUGAGGAAUGCCUGGGAAUCUGCCUGUUAGUGGGGGAUAACGAAUCGAAAGGUUCGCUAAUACCGCAUACGUCCUACGGGAGAAAGCAGGGGACCGUUCGGGCCUUGCGCUAACAGAUGAGCCCAGGUCGGAUUAGCUAGUAGGUGGGGUAAAGGCUCACCUAGGCGACGAUCCGUAGCUGGUCUGAGAGGAUGAUCAGCCACACUGGAACUGAGACACGGUCCAGACUCCUACGGGAGGCAGCAGUGGGGAAUAUUGGACAAUGGGCGAAAGCCUGAUCCAGCCAUGCCGCGUGUGUGAAGAAGGCCUCGGUUGUAAG
RNAcentral lists this ribosomal RNA (386 nucleotides) under uncultured bacterium. RNAcentral's name for it is "bacterial SSU rRNA". It matches the Rfam family "Bacterial small subunit ribosomal RNA", at positions 30 to 429 of the family's 1533-position model. The record is from RNAcentral.